UCCCCAGGAGUCCCCUCCACCAAGGCACUUUCUAGCAUGUCACCCCGUUUCCUCUUCUCAGGAUCACUCACCACCAUCUGAAAUGAACUUGAGCAUGUGUUGACUUGGGGAACAUCUCUCCCCCUCCUUGCCUGUUGUGAGCUCAAGGAAAAUCAGGGACCGACCUGACUUAUGAACCUGUGUCCCCAGCACCUAUAGUGGGUACCCAGCCCACAGGUGCUGGCUGUACAUGAUGCUGAGGACUCCGAGGGUGAGCCUGGCAUCCGAGUCCUGGGCUCAAGUCCUGAUACAGCUAUUCCCAGGCACCUGACUUUGGGAGAGAUGCCUCCUCUCUGGGUCAAGGUUUUUUCCUUUGUGGCAUGAACCAGUACUCCAGUAUCCAUCACUCACGACUGCUGGGGCUCAAAGACAAGGUGACAUGUGUCAAGGUGCUUGGCCAACUCAGAGAAUUGUACAAAGAGAAGUGACCAUGUUAAGUUGCUGGCCCACUCCUAGGUAGAAGUCAGGGAGUGGCCUAAGGAAGAGCAUGGUGAUGGCCCGCCUGGCGGAAGUCUGCAGUGUGUGGGUGUGUGUGUGCAGAUGUGUUUGUACAUGCAUGUUAUUAAUGUUGUUUAAUUGCCAUUCAGGCUCCAUAAAUAGUAGCUAAUUCUUCCUAUGUGCCGAGCAUAUACACUCACUUAAUUCUUGCAACAACCCUGUGUGGUAGGCACUGCUGUUACCACAUCAUCCCCCUUCUACAGAUAAGGGAACUGAGGCAAGGGAGAAGAAAUGACACAAUCUCCUGGACCCUCUUGAUGCCACUGUGGACAACAGGCCACCUGAACUCACGUUUCCAGGCUCCACUUGGCCAUUUCUGUGACUCUAAGUUCCCCAAUCAAAGCUUAAAUUCAUCACGUUGGCGUCCUUUGAGGUUCUCCUGGGACAUGGACGUGGUGCAUGGGGCUGUGUUCACCUGUGGUGGGGACAUGUCAUCUCCUUCGGGGCUCCACUUGACCAGACCCAGUUCUCGUGACACUGCAGGCAGGAGAGAGCAGCAUGCAUCACAUGGGGCUGGGGUCUUCUGA
RNAcentral lists this long non-coding RNA (1064 nucleotides) under Macaca mulatta (Rhesus monkey). RNAcentral's name for it is "lncRNA (ENSMMUG00000060780.1)". The record is from RNAcentral. Lineage: Eukaryota; Metazoa; Chordata; Mammalia; Primates; Cercopithecidae.